GCGCCAUUUUGGCCCCUCAGGAAAGGCGAGGAAGAAGAAGGCCAGGUUGGCUUUGUUUUUUUGUGAGGGGAAAAAGGCCCUUCCACACAGCCAUUUAACCCAGAAUAGAUCCCCACAAGGAUUAGGCUUCGAACUGGGUUGUUAUCAGAGUCCACACUGCCAUAUAAUCCAGUUCAGUGUGGGUUUUAUACUGCUUUGGGUUGCCAAAGUGGAAGGCCUCACCAUUGGAGGCAGGAAGAGAAGAACCACCUUUGGAGCUCAUAAUGACUCCUCUGGACAAGUACUUUCAAAAAGUCCAUCCAAGAGAAAUAUUGAAUCUAGCAAGACUAUUGACCCACCAGAGGCUGGAGAUAUUUCCUUUGGAGUGUAACUCCCAGAAUCCACUAAGCAACCAUGCAUUUAACUUUUCCAAAGUGUUACAAAGUGUGAAUUUUGACAUGCAUCCUUGCCAUCAUCACCCACCGCUUGCUUCCCUCCCCGACCCCCUGCUAGUGUGCAAUCCAUUAUAUUUAUGGAGCAUCGCCAUGUUCUUUGUUCAUUAAAGGCUCAUCAUUUUAUGACUAUCUUUGCCACUCUUAAAUCUAUUUUGAAAGCUGUUUGUUGGCAUUGGAGGGAUGUUCAACCUUGAAAUGCCUGAUGCGCUGGACAUCUCUUGAUCGGGUGUCUUGAAGUCAGAAUUUACUGCAGAAUUGGCGACAACAAGGGAUGCAACUGGAUUAAAAGAGCAUUUAAAGAAUCCUAGAGUUGGAGUCGAUUCUAAAGGCCAUUUGGUCCAACCAAGUAUGAAGGCCCAGGAAGAGAACGGUCCAAAUUCUGAUGGAUGAACAGAAACCAAAGUAUAGGAUCUUGUUUACUUUUGAGCAAUAUGGUCUAUGGAUGCCGUGGAAUUCAAAAUACAACAACACACUGUCAUCCAGGCCAAUCUCAUAAGGAUUGUUGUGAUAUAAAACAGUGAAGGGCUAGUUCGUAUCCUCUUCUGAAAAAAAUGAGAUUAAAUGUGAACUAAAAAGUUUGACAGAGACAGCCUCCAGCCUUCGAUAGAUACGUUAGGUUGAGAAAACCACCAAAGGUAAGGAGACCAUCUUUCCAUGCCAUCCUUCUGCUAUUAAAUGGUCUGAAAAAAUAAAAUUGUGAUAAGAUGCUUAAAUCUUGUUUCAAGGGCUUGUUUCAACCUGCUAUCCUCCAGACUUUGCCCAGCUACAACUCCCAACAUUUCUAGCUUGGAUCUGAUAAAAGGUUGAGUUCCUUGGCGCAAUCGCUGCAGGGCCAUAGAUUAUGCUAACUUCCCAAAAAGCAUUGUUUUUUUCUCCAGAAUGGUAUUCAAGUCCAAGUAUGAAUGGUAACAUUUGGU
Molecule: long non-coding RNA, 1351 nt
Filed under: Anolis carolinensis (green anole)
Lineage: Eukaryota; Metazoa; Chordata; Lepidosauria; Squamata; Anolidae
Description: lncRNA (ENSACAG00000040530.1)
Source: RNAcentral